UUACAUGGGAAUGUAAUGAAGGUUAAUAAUGUCACUUUACUCAAACCUAAUUGGGCACAUGUGUGCUGGUAUCGUGGACACCGCUAACCUUGUUCGCCUUUGUUACAGCGCUUUUUCCCGUCGAGGUAGCGGGACUCAUAGUUAUUACUGCGCACUUAUCCUGCUUUUACAGCGGCUUAUAACUUGUGUGGACUGCACGUGUAAUGUAAACCACACGUCUCCUCUCCGUUGUGGCCUCAAUUUCUUUAAUUGUGUCUGCUAGUUGACGUGAUAUUUAUCGGCGUUGUAACGUUACUUCGCAUUGGACUGACGCGUACCACGUGUCCGGAAGUAAACAAGGAGACGCAUUUGCAAACACACGUUUAACGUGAAUGUCGCAAACAAAAUCGUACCGGUGGUACAUUGUCGCUAUUUUACACUCUUGUUGUUUUAUUUGGGGUUAAUAAAGUUGUAGUUCAGUCCGCGAACCAUCCGUGAGAGUGUCUGUGAGGGGAAUGACCUCCUCAUCUCCGACGUGAUGUCGCUAUCGCUUCUCGGCCUUUUGGCUAAGAUCAAGUGUAGUAUCUGUUCUUAUCAGUUUAAUAUCUGAUACGUCCCCUACCCGGGGACCAUAUAUUAAAUUGAUUUUUGGAAUAGGGAGAUGGAAUAGGGGCUUGCUCCGUCCACUCCACGCAUCGACCUGGUAUUGCAGUACCUCCAGGAACGGUGCACCCCCCAAAACUGUACAAUGUAAAAUACCAUGGCAGAAGAGUGCAUAGUGUGCUUGAUCAUAGUUUUCGGUAUCUCAUAAAGCAUCGAGAGAUAAAUCUCGCACCUCUGGAAUUUUGUAAAUAGCGUUUACGCACCUCAAAGUUCCCUGCGCCUUGUAUUCUUCCGUUGGAAUAAUCCGAAAUAAACUUGGUGUAAUUUUAAAACUGUUAAAACUAUGUUUCCUAUUGUUGAACAUAUAAACGCCGUAGUCUGAAUAAUUUUCAUCCGCGCUGUAUUAUGGUCUGACCAUCCAAUCAGUGCCUUGCGGCUGCAGCAGCGAGACAAUCAGGAUCCAGGAGGUAUUUAAACACAUACACGUUGUGGAUUAGCCUGCCUGCCUGUUCGGAAUGUGUAAUAUUCGUGUGCGUGCACUGACAUUUAAUUGUCUAAGUACGACACGUACCAGUGAGUUUCUUUUAGUCGGCGCUGUAUGCGUCCAUCUUUAUUAGUGCAUAUUUACUUCUGCGCAUAAACGCGCACCUUGAUGACCUCAUCACAACAUGACAGACAUUUGAACCGGAAGUAUCCAAGAUACUACAGAAUGGAUUACCGCCGGUAAUUAGCAAUGGAUAUCAGGCGAUAUUUGAAGAGACCAUCGAGUGCUCCCACUCCCACAGAUGCCCGCAAAAGGCCUCAAGUACAAAGUAAGACUUAAGAAGAUCAAUUCACGUUUUUAAACGUUGUUUUGGUUCGCACAACAUCGCAUUAAGACGGGGACAAACGCUAUUAAUAACAUGCUUUCAAAUACGAUGAUGCAGCCAGCCUUCCCGGUCCCAUCUAAAUAGGCCUAAUAAAAUGAGUAAUUAUCCUCAUGCAUAUUGCUGCAGAUUAGGCUAAUUCAUUGAAAAAUUGUCAACAGAUUAUGUGCAAGCCAGUUAGACAUAGCUAAGAGAAAUGCUAAGUGAAAUGUUUUAGUUUAGCUAUAGAAUCUUCAAAUUUCGCGGUCAAAGUCAAAUAUAUUAGUUUUUUACUUUCCUGAUGACAUCCUGUCCUGCUCUCGCAUAGAAAACGUGAGCGGGGAGCAAAGCUGUUGCUUCACUGAAUAGGCCUAUAUGCUUAAUCAAUUAUUUGAAGUCAUGAAAGGUGUAGAGUAGCCUGUAAGCGAAAUACAUUGUAAACAUAGAUUAUUUGAAAACAAGUCAGUUCUCAAUGUGAAAAAAAACAUGCUGUAUAGGCUAUUUAUGAUGACGUACAUGAGUGUUCCUUUAACUUAUGUUGUCAGUGUAAUUGACAGGCUGCUUAACUGGUGUUCUCAGCCCCACAACUCUUAAAUUUAACAUAUUUUUUCAGGCAAUGAUGCAGAGAGCACAGGGAGAGGCGAAACACCAGAUCGAAUAGAGAGAGGAUAAUGGCUGAUGAGAGAACAAAAUCAUGACAGUGGAGAACCAAAGAGUGGAGAAGAGGAAAGGGGAGGAAAUGAAAGAAGACCAACAGAGAAUGAAGAAACAGAGAAAGGGGAGACGGAGAAAGAUGAAAUAGAGGGAGUAAGAGAAGAAACGGGCUGGAGAGUGGAGAAUCUGAAUUAGAAUCUGAAGUAGAGGGAGAUACAGAGGAAGAAGAAUCUGAGACUGAAGACCGAGUGAGAGGAGAAAUAGAGAGCAGAUGCCACCCACAUAUCUGGACAGAUAACAUAAUGCAAUAUAGCCAGGACAGCCUUACAGAGUCUCAACGCUUUGUGUUGCGUUGCUUCGCAUCGCGUUGCAUCGCGUCGAGGUCUGUAUGAUCACAAAAUUCAGAGUUUACCCACCUCUAAUUUUACCACUACAGCACUGGCGAAAAGUGGUCGGUGGUAGGUUCUUCCGGUGGUCGGUGGACGGUUGCACCCUGGACAAACCGACCACUAGAAAUGGGUUAUUUAGCAUGCGCGGUCGAUACAUAUGUCCCUUUAUUUUUUUAGCAUUGGCAUGCGUCGCCAGCGCCCUACGCUGUGAACGGCAGCUCGCCACAACCUCGCCAGCGUCCUAUGAUGUGAACGGCAGGUCACAUGAACCGUCGCCACCUUCCUUCAUGAUGAAAUUGCACUUUUAUGUUCAUGAUGAAUUGAAGAGUAAGGCAAAUAGCAUUAAAUAGUAAAUAUUAGAGCAUGGUUACUGAAUGACAAACAAAAUUUGUUAUAUUUUACAACUGUGCGGAGUCUGUGAGUUUGGGGACCUAUGACUAUAUCCUCUGGAGUCGGGAGUGGGUCAGAUAUGGCAAUGUCCAGGUUUUUCUAAAAUGUUAUAUACACAUUACAAUUUUAAUCAAUGUAACUUCUAAAUUUAAAUAACUGCUGUCUCCCACUGUACUAGACUGCGGAAAGGAUUUUUAUGCCAAGGCUGGUCGGUCACCAGAAUCCUGAGACGGGAAACCACUUCAUCCUUUGAGUGACGAAACUUCACAGCACGUCAACAGAUACAGGCCAGGGUUAACAAACAACAAUAACCUAAUGAUAACGCAUAACUAACAAAUGUGAAGACUAAAGUAACAUUACCAGGAGCAAUCGUUUAUCAGUUUCUGUGGUAAUUUUUAGCAACAUGCAACAAAGUAUAAAUAUCUUCAAUUUGUAAAAAAAAAAUUGUGUUUAUAAAUUAAAAGAAAAGCAAUAUUCACUUCAGUGGAGUAACUUGAAUUGUUAGACAGGCGUGUUUAAAAUCAAUUUAAAAUGUAUUUGCAUAAGGUCAUCACUGGAUGACAUUUCUGUAACAAAAAUACUUUGGCUAAUACAGUUAUCAUUGUGCAUGCGGAAUACAUUCAUUAUUAUAUGGCAGAUUAUGGUAUUCUUCAUUCAUCAUUUCAUCACUGGUCCAAUAGGUACUUGACUUCAAAAAGGAGGAGAUAUGAGUGUAUGACUCUCUGAGGAUCAGCACCACCAUACCGGAUGAGGCCAUGAAUAUUCUGAGGUGAAAAAGUGUAAUACACAAUUGAGACAUGCUAUUAUAAACACCUGAAAUGAAUUUUCACAGUGAUAUCGUUUUUCUUAAAAGAAAUUUUUCAGGGAACAGGGAGGUCUUGCGGAAUGGAAUGUGUGUUUCACAAAACAAUGGAGGCAGAGAGACAACAAUAACUGCGCUAUUUUUGUGUGCUCAGUAAGUCAGCAUGCAAAGUUGUAAAAUUAGCUUUCAACAAUAUUUUUAAAAACACACAAUGUUAAAAAAUAUUGUGUGAUUUUUGUAUUAUAUUAUUUCAAAAAGGCAGCUGAGAAUGAGGUGAAAAACCGAGAUGUCAUCCUCAACCAGUGCCAAACUCUCUCCAAGAUGAUAGCAGGGCUUAGCAUUGAGGUAUACAAGGUAUACAAGGAGACUGGACCACGAAAGACUUCCUUUGUGGGUGUCAUCGAGACCCUGGUACAUAUCUGUAAGUAUACACUUGCAUAGUGUAUAAUUACUUUAUAACACUGGCUUUAGUAAUGGAUGGUUUUAAUUUUUAAAGGGCAAAAGAGAUACUAGAGUCCACUCAGGUGGACAGUAUUUUAACGGAUCAAGAGAUUGAGAGUCUGGAGCAAGAUCUGAUGAAAAGAAACAUUCUGUCAAACAGAAUGUAUCUUUAUAAAAAUAAAGGGUGCGAUCGCAAUUUGGAGGCAUUCUAUGCUGACCACCUGUCAGUUUUCGAUGAUCUUAAGGUUAGAUUUACAUUAGCAUUUUAUUUUAAUAUGUGUACACUGUGAUGAAAAUUGGUGGAUAAUGUCCAAUCCUAUUUUAUUUUAAAGCAAUGGUGUUUCAUAGUAUCCAUAAAAUGCAAAUUCAAAGUCAACCUUGAUAUGAAUAAGUCUUUAAUAAAAUUUCAGACUGCACAACUAGCAGGAAUACUGAAAUACAUUGUGGGUAAAAAAGAGCCUGCAGUGGAUAGCGAUACCUAUAUCAAUCAUGUCAUCCUGCCAGAGGUAAGUUGAAACAAAACAAGUAAUAAUUCAAUAUAUUUUACCCAUGGAUUUAAUUACAUUAUGACAGAAUACAGCAUGACCUUAAAAAUGAACGGCAAAUUUAUUUCAGGUAAACAUUGAGUGGCUGAGGCAGAAAUUCUGCAUAUCCAGAUACGAAGCUGGAUGUAUUCUACUCAGCGUAACCAAGACUUAUGUAUAAGCAAAAUUUACCGCAUUAGUAACUGAGAAAUUAAGAUUGCAGUGACAAUUUAAUCAUUCCAAAGUCGUUCUUCUGUGAUGUUUUGGCAAUUAGCCGUAUGAAGAGGAAUUGUCAAACCUUCAUAAAAGAUGUUUCAGCCUUAUGACAUUUCACAUUAAUACAUUUAUACAUCUUUAUAUUUAAAAAUACAUUUUUAAUUAGAACACCUGCAUAUACAUGAAAAGGCAAGACCAAAAUGAUAGUGUCCAACAAAUAUUGAUUGAAUUAUUCUAACAAAUGUUAUAGAAAUGAUUCCAUAACAUGAGAUGGUCACUUUGAGGUUUCACAAAACAAUUUACAGCAGUAUAAGUUAGAACGCAAGAUACAUAGCAGAAAUUUAAACAAAGUCAAGAACUAAAAUUAAAAUAAGCUGUAAUAGGAUAUAGCCCAAAAUAAUACACAAUAACUAAAUUAUUAAUGUGGCCUAUAAACAGACAUAUAUUGUUUAAACUGUUAUUGCAAAGUGUAUUUAUACUGAAAAGAUUUAGAAGUUCUACAAUAUGCACGUUUUCAACAUUAUACUUAAAUUUAUUAUUAAUGCUGCUAAAGCUUUAAUUAAAAAGGAAAAAAAAUUGAAUGCAUUUUCAAUGAAUGACCGGGUUCACCAUGACUCGUCUGAACCCCUGUGUGGGCAGCAGCCAAUGGAGCAGACCGUGAAAACAACACACAUGGAAGCGGUAAAUUGUUUUUCAAUGUUAAUAUAUUUACAAUAAUUGCUGUUUAUAUUGACAUCCACAGACAUCAUGUUGCUACCAGAUGACUAUAUUGUAGAAGUAAAGAAAUAAAAUAAGAAACUUAUUACGGAAUGAUUUCAAACCAAUACUGUUUUUUUCAAAAUAUUUUUCAUAAUGUUACUAUACAGCUCAGUGUGGAACUGUUGGAGGCCAUUUUUGUCGAGGCAGUUCUGCUUGAUGGGGACAAAAUGAUCGGGUCAUUGGCACUAGUGUCCAAAAGAUGGAAGGCUAUUGUCUCUACUGAAGAGUUUCGGAGGAAAGCCUACUAUCGAUGGCUGAAAAGUAAGUAACCAUGUAGAGUAUCUUGGCUUAUCUACUUUUGUGUUCAUUUUUACUUUUACUUUACUUAUGUGUGUGUGGAGAUGGGGGGGGGGGAUCUUAAAAAUAUUUGAUAGUUGAGACAAGAGUCGUUUCCUUGUUUUACCCACAGACAUAUUAGUUAAUGUUGACAAUCAAAUAUUAAAUUAUGAAUUGAAAUGUAUACACGACCCCUCCUGGCAGGAAAGGGACACUGUGACUGAAGACCCCAUCAAUGAGGUAAAAUGUGGUGGUAUUAGUCUAAUUUAGAACCCGCAUUUUCAUGAGGUCAAAGGGGGAAUACACUGAUAUGGAUCCUUUAUAAGUUGGUGGAAAAUUGUUAAGGAUUGAAUAAGACUGACCUAACGUUCAUAGAUGUAGAUGUAAUCACAGAGAUUGACAGGCCGUGCAUAUGACCAGAACAGACUGACAGGUCGUUCAUUACAUUAGCUGACACUUUUAUCCAAAGCGACUAAGACUAAGUGCAUUUCAAACAUAAGGAUACAAACUCAACAUAAACAUAAAAGUGCGAUUUCAGGUGGCGGCGGUUCAUGUGACCGGCUGUUCGCAGCGUAGGACGCUGGCGAUAAUCAAAGAGGCAGGGCGACGCUAAAACAAUAAAGGGACAUAUGUAUCGACCGCGCAUGCUAAAUAACCCCUUUUUCUAGUGGUCGAGUGAACAGUUUGUCC
Molecule: long non-coding RNA, 6568 nt
Organism: Gasterosteus aculeatus aculeatus (three-spined stickleback)
Lineage: Eukaryota; Metazoa; Chordata; Actinopteri; Perciformes; Gasterosteidae
Source: Ensembl